This 253-nucleotide ribosomal RNA is filed under the name uncultured bacterium. Its description in RNAcentral is "partial 16S ribosomal RNA". It matches the Rfam family "Bacterial small subunit ribosomal RNA", at positions 524 to 776 of the family's 1533-position model. The record is from RNAcentral.
UACGUAGGGUGCGAGCGUUGUCCGGAAUUACUGGGCGUAAAGAGCUCGUAGGUGGUUUGUCGCGUUGUUCGUGAAAACCGGGGGCUUAACCCUCGGCGUGCGGGCGAUACGGGCAGACUGGAGUACUGCAGGGGAGACUGGAAUUCCUGGUGUAGCGGUGGAAUGCGCAGAUAUCAGGUGGAACACCGGUGGCGAAGGCGGUUCUCUGGGCAUUACCUGACGCUGAGGAGCGAAAGUGUGGGGAGCGAACAGG